This 1485-nucleotide long non-coding RNA is filed under the name Monodelphis domestica (gray short-tailed opossum). RNAcentral describes it as "lncRNA (ENSMODG00000028969.2)". The record is from RNAcentral. Lineage: Eukaryota; Metazoa; Chordata; Mammalia; Didelphimorphia; Didelphidae.
UUUAGAGAUGAAAAAAUAAAAAAAAAUUGAGGAUAAAAUAAAACAAAAUGAGGAGAAAAUAAAACAAAAUGAGGAGGAAAUAAAGCAAAAUGAGGAUAAAAUAGAAAAUAUUGAGGAUAAAAUAGAAAAUGUUGAGGAUAAAAUAGAAAAAAUUGAGGAUACAAUAGAAAAAAUUGAGGAUAAAAUAGGAAAUAUUGAGAAUAAAAUAGAAAAAAUUGAGGAUAAAAUAGGAAAUAUUGAGAAUAAAAUAGGAAAUAUUGAGGAUAAAAUGGGAAAUAUGGAAGAUAAAAUAGGAAAAAUUGAGGAUAAAAUGCAAGCCCAAUUAGAAGAUCUAAAAAGUUUCUUACAGGAUCAAUUGACAAACAACCACUCUACCAGAAAUAGACCUGUUUCUGAACCUUUGAAUGAGGAAAUUUCCUUCCCUGAAAUAGAGAUGGAAAGCACCUUUCCUAUAGCCCAGUUAACAGACUGCUUCUCUCGUGUAGUGCAAAUCUUGUCUGAAUUUAAUCCCCAAAACCCUUCCCCGGCAAUCCCAGAUUCUCAUGUUCCUUCUCCUACAGAAAACCAAAUUCCAAUGCAAGAAAGAUCUUGUCCCCCUAGAAAAACCUGUCCUUGUCAAACUGACCCACAGGUGCAAAAUCCAACUAGAGGCCUGUUUCCUCUAAGAGAAGUACCUGAAAUAGGACGAAAUGGGGAUGUGGUGACUUUAAGACAUAGGAUACCGUUUACUCCCCAAGAAAUAAAUGAAUUUACACGAAAUAUUCCCACAUAUGAACAAGAUCCUUUUCUAGUAACAAAAAAGAUGGGAGACAUAUUUUUUCAGUAUAAUCCGUCUUACAAGGACGUUGAGAGCUUACUCCAGGCUUUUUUAAGUGAACGUGAAAAAAAUAAAAUAAUUGCUCAUGUCAACAAAACCAGGGGGCGUAAUGCAGCACAUUGGCCAUCUCAGGAUCCCGAAUGGGACUAUAACAAUCCUGAGGAUUAUCUACAACUAUACCGUUGUAGAGAGGCCAUCCUCACGUCCAUGAAGGAAUGUGCGGACAGUACAGAUAAGUGGAUGGAACUGGAAAAAAUUAAGCAAAAGGAAAAUGAAACACCCUCCAGAUUUAUGGACAGAAUUAUCGAGUUUGGGGACAGAUACUUAGAUUGGGACUUAACUAAAGAGAGUAGUAUAAGACAAGUUAGAAGAAUCUUUGUAAACAAUUCUUGCAAAGCAAUUAAAAAUUAUUUCAAAACACAAUGCCCAAGAUGGUCAGAUAUGGACCUUGAAGAAUUGCGAAAAACAGCUAUAUAUGUUUUAAAGGGAAACGAAGAAAAGGAGAAAGAAAAUGAUGAUGACAUGGAGGAAAUGAAGAAAAAAAUGAGAUAUUUAAUAGAUAGGAUAACUAAAUUAGAAAGUGGGCAGGGUAAUGAACCAACGACAAUUGCCCCUCUCCAGAAAUCCAAUUAUCAAUCCAUUCCUUGCCACUUCUGUGAGAAGAAGGG